UCAUUGGCCCAGAGAUCUGCUUCUUCAAAACGCAGAAUUCAACUCAUUUUCUACAUUUCUUUACCUAUGUUUGUCAUUAUUGCUGCUGUUUUAAUAAAGCAGGAUAAAAUAAGAGAUCUAUGCUACAGAGGUGAAACCGGAAGUGAAAGGUCUGUGUCAGUAGAAGACAGCAUUAACAGCAAAUUGUCCUCAACUGUAAGCAACAGUCUCUAACAACUUUGGCCUGAAGAGAGGAUAAAUCCAAAUAAAUCAUCAGAAACUGGCCUAAACCAAGAAGAGA
Myotis davidii is the source of this 280-nucleotide long non-coding RNA. RefSeq lists it as uncharacterized. NCBI's taxonomy places the organism in Eukaryota, Metazoa, Chordata, Mammalia, Chiroptera, Vespertilionidae. The record is from RefSeq and is a predicted model, not a curated record. The transcript has 3 exons.